GACAGAGGGGGCAAGCGUUGCUCGGAAUUACUGGGCGUAAAGGGCGCGUAGGCGGGAUGGCAAGUCGGUCGUGAAAUCCCUCGGCUCAACCGAGGAACGUCGAUCGAUACUGCUGUUCUUGAGGAUUGCAGAGGAGACUGGAAUUUACGGUGUAGCGGUGAAAUGCGUAGAUAUCGUAAGGAAGACCAGUGGCGAAGGCGGGUCUCUGGACAGUUCCUGACGCUGAGGCACGAAGGUCAGGGGAGCAAACGGG
Molecule: ribosomal RNA, 253 nt
Filed under: uncultured bacterium
Lineage: Bacteria
Description: partial 16S ribosomal RNA
Rfam family: Bacterial small subunit ribosomal RNA
Source: RNAcentral